UGGGGAAUUUUGCGCAAUGGGGGAAAACCUGACGCAGCAACGCCGCGUGAGUGAUGAAGGCCUUUGGGUCGUAAAGCUCUGUCAGAGGGGAAGAAAACACGUCGGGUAAUCCCGCAAGGCCUGACGGACUCAAG
Molecule: ribosomal RNA, 134 nt
Filed under: uncultured Geobacter sp.
Lineage: Bacteria; Pseudomonadati; Thermodesulfobacteriota; Desulfuromonadia; Geobacterales; Geobacteraceae
Description: partial 16S ribosomal RNA
Rfam family: Bacterial small subunit ribosomal RNA
Source: RNAcentral